ACAUCAGGAAAAGUUGCCAGGCUCACAAACACACGAUGCGCUGCAACACGUUUCUUCGCGGUUCGAUGGACUCGUGCAACAUUCGCGUAUGCCCGUUUCGGUUUGGGACCAGGGUUCUACGAAUCAACAGUUUCUAGCAAGUCUACACCCGAACAUGCGACGUGAGACUACAUGAAACUUAAGCCGCCGGAAGGGUGUAUUCCGAAAUUACCGAAUUACCGAACUUGUUCUUUAACCUUCUUGUUUAAAACUAAACUUAAGAACAACCGGCAGUCGCAUGAGUGUACUUUGUACACACUUUGUAAGGGCACUGGUAUGAAACGCCAAAACAUGCGACUUCCGAAACGAUAAUCAGAAAUAAAAUCUUCUAAAUCA
Culex quinquefasciatus (southern house mosquito) is the source of this 375-nucleotide long non-coding RNA. RefSeq lists it as uncharacterized. The record is from RefSeq and is a predicted model, not a curated record. The transcript has 2 exons. NCBI's taxonomy places the organism in Eukaryota, Metazoa, Arthropoda, Insecta, Diptera, Culicidae.